Molecule: ribosomal RNA, 231 nt
Filed under: uncultured bacterium
Lineage: Bacteria
Description: partial 16S ribosomal RNA
Rfam family: Bacterial small subunit ribosomal RNA
Source: RNAcentral
GAUCUUGGCUCAGGACGAACGCUGGCGGCGUGCCUAACACAUGCAAGUCGAACGGAGUCGGCCCCGCAAGGGACUGACUUAGUGGCGAACGGGUGAGUAACGCGUGAGCAACCUGCCUUUCAGUGGGGGACAACAGUUGGAAACGACUGCUAAUACCGCAUAAUGCAUUUUGACCGCAUGAUCGAGAUGCCAAAGAUUUAUUGCUGAAAGAUGGGCUCGCGUCUGAUUAGA